RNAcentral lists this long non-coding RNA (8782 nucleotides) under Sorghum bicolor (sorghum). Its description in RNAcentral is "long non-coding RNA (SBIC_LNC009408)". Lineage: Eukaryota; Viridiplantae; Streptophyta; Magnoliopsida; Poales; Poaceae. The record is from RNAcentral.
AACAUUCAGAUCAAGAUCUAAAUUUUUUACCAAAAAGGCUCUAACUCCACCCACUCUAAUCCACCAAAUUAUUGGUGGAUCAAAUUUAAGUUUGGUGGAGUUGAGGAAAAUUAUUCAUGCUACAAAUUACACACAUUUGGCUCUAAACCAGUACAUUCUUUUCUUUCUUUUCUCGCAUCCCCGUCGCAAACACACGCCGAGCUCGUUGUCACCAAGAAAUCACCGCCCGCCCGCAUCUUGAUUAAAAAACAGCAGGCUUACUGUUGAGCAUCUCCAAAGGUUUUGGCAAAUUGACUUGGCAUUUGUUGCUAUUUGCAAACUCCCAAAACAAAAUGCAAAGCAUAAAAGUAGGUCAUCUCUAAGAGAAUUGGCAUAUGGACUUGGCAAAGGAUAAAAAUAGAAGGUCUCUAUGCGCGCGCGCUUUCUUCGCGCGUGACUUUGCUCGCGCGAUCGGGUUUGCAAAGUCGUCUACAGUUUGGCAUUUUUGCCAAGUUUGCUCCCUCAUUUGCCAAGUUGCCCAAAUUGCAAACUCCAAAUGCAAAACCGUUGGAUACCUCUUUUAAUUUGGAGCUUUUUGGCAAAUUACUCAAAUGCAAAACCCUUCGAGAUGCUCAGGUAUAAUAGUAGAUGUGCUUGAAAAUUGUUUUAUCUAACAUCGAUAGUUCCGUAUUAAUUAAAUAAGAGUUGUCCAUAGGGUAUAUAUGCAUAUCCCACCUGGCAUAGUGGCCCAUGGGUCCGCCCCGGACAUGUGUCAUGACUGCUUGUAGCAUGCACCCAAGGUGGUCAUGUCAUCAAGCAAGGUUGAUCUCCACUACCCCAUGAUUUAUGAUUCUUCACCAGCUUUAAUUUGAACGGCAGGAUAAGUCCUUGCUGUCUCUCUAGUAUUUAUAUUACCCUGAUCUUAGUGUCGAUUUCCUCAUGGGGCCUAGCCUAACUAGACUGUCCCAGAGUUCUUGGCUUCUUGCUCUCUACGAAGAAUCUGAGACAUCGUCUUGACUCUUGACCUCUAUUUUUGAGGAAACAGGAGGGGUGUGAGCCCCUACUGAAAAUUUAUUCAAAGGAGUUAAAACUUACAAAGGAAGGAGUAAAGCCAGAGGAAAACUAAGAAACAAAAAAAGAAAUGAAAAACAAGGAAAAGGUAACUGAAAGGAACCAGGCUAUCCUAGAUUUACUAUCCAUUAAUCAAUCCUUGGUGAAUAACUCUUUUUAGCUCUCAGCAAAAGAAGCUGAAACUCAGUUCUGAAAUCAGAUUUCAUUCUCAGCAUACUUGGCUGCAGUUGUCGAAAAAUUGCAUCAUUUCUCACUUUCCAAAUAGUCCAGCACAUUAGAAUGAUAAUUUCCAUGAAGAAGGGAACAUCAAGCUGGUCCUUUAGGCUCUGCAAAAUCUGAAAAGGGUCUAGGUUGGUGUUUAUCUGCAGAUUGAUCCAGCCAGCACUGCAGUGCGAAGGGGCAACCCAGAAACAAAUGGUCUUCAGAUUCAUCUUCAGUACUGGAGCACAAGACACAACUGUAAUCUUGUAAAAACAUGUGUUUUCUUCUAAGGAGUUCCCUGCAGCUUAGUCUGUCCUUGAUGAGAAGCCAAAAAAAGACUUUGUGUCUUUUCUGACAUGAACUAUUCCAUAACCAUUUAUAAACUGGAUGUAGAUUCCUGUGACCACUCAUUUGCUUGUAGGCUCUUUUAACCGAAAAGAUGUUUGAAUUCCAGAUGAACACCCAUCUGUCAUUUAGCUCAUUCAUUUGCAUCUCUACUAUCUGAGUUUGGAGUUGGAUCAUUUGGGUAUGGGCUUGUUGAGACAAAGGCAGGUGAAAGAAAAGGGGACUGUACUUGCACUUUCAGCAAACGAGAUAUUUUUCUUCUUCACAAAAGAGUAUAGUUCUGGGCAGCUGUGCAUGACUGGCUCAUUGCCCCAAAGGUCCUCCCAAAGAAGACAUGAUUUCCCAUUGUUUAUCUCCACCCUAGCCAUUCCUUUAAAUUUGUCCAGAAGCUUUAAGACAUCCUUCCACCAAAAGGAGCCUUUUUUAGUAUUUCUAGGUAAUUUCCCAAAGUCAUAAUGAACCUCCCAGAUCAAUGAGACCCAUGGGGUAUCUUCCUUGUUAAAAAAUUUACUCAAAUAUUUUAACACCAGAGCCUCAUUUUGAGUUUGCAAGUUUAGUACACCGAGACCUCCUUCAUCUUUUGAUCUACAGACCACAGGCCAUGCUACUUUUGGUUUCUGCUUGGCAUUGACAUCAGCCCCUCUCCAGAGGCAGAUCUUCCUGAAUUUAUCAAUCUGUUGGAUUACAGUUUGUUGCAGAAGGAAGGUGCUCAUGCAGAAUGUUGGAAGGGCAGAAAAAAUUGAAUUUGUUACCUCCAGCCUCCCUGCCUGGUUUAAGAAUGCUGAAGUAGCAGCCAACCUCCUUUCACAUCUACUGACUAGAGGGGUGAAGUCUACCACCCUUGGCUUAGUUAGGCUUAAUGGCAGUCCUAAGUAAGUGAAUGGUAGGCUACCAACCUCACAACUGAAGGUUCUGGCUAAGUGUUGCAUUUUUUGCUCACUUGUAUUGAUUGGUACUAUAAAAGAUUUUGAAUAAUUCACUUUUAAUCCAGUUGAUUCUCCAAAGCUAUGAAGAAGAGCUUUUAGUGCCCAUAAUUGCCUGGAGCAAGCUUCCAUUAUGAUUAAAGUAUCAUCUGCGUAUUGGAUCACAGGAAAGUCUGUAGUAUGCCUCAGAGGAAUUGGUAGAUUAAAUAAUCCUUGUUCUCUAGCUUUGUUCAAGACUGCCUGGAGGAGAUCAGCAGCUAAGACGAACAAAAGUGGGGAUAGGGGGUCCCCUUGCCUUACUCCCCUCCUGCAAUGAAUGGUUUUGCCAGGUACUCCAUUGAGGAGCACCGAUGAGUUGCCUGAGUUUAAAAUUGCUUGUAUCCAAUUAGUCCAUUUUUGCCCAAAUCCUUUUGCUCUCACAAUCUCCAGAAUAGCCUUAUGCUCAAUCUUGUCAAACGCCUUCUCAAAGUCUAGUUUCAAGAUUAUGAUCUCUUUCUUUGACUUGUGACAGAUGUGUAUGUAUUCCAGAGCCCAAGCCAGGCAGUCUUGAAUGGUCCUGGAUUUAAUGAACCCAUACUGGUUCUUGUGAAUGAGACUCUUAAUUUUGCUUUGUAAUCUGUUGGCUAGUAACUUGGUUAAAAUCUUUAGUGAGGUAUUUAGAAGUGAGAUUGGCCUGUAGUCAGAGACCUCUUGGGGGCCAUCCUUCUUUGGAAUUAGGGUGAUAUAUGAGCUGUUGAUGCUUCUGAGACAUAAAUUUUCAUCAAAAAAUGCCUGGCAGAGAUUAUAGAAAUCUGAAGCUAUAAGUGACCAACAACCUUUAAUAAAUUCAUUAGUGAAACCAUCUGGCCCUAGAGAUUUAUCAUUUGGCAAUCCAUCUACCACAUCAUCUAUCUCCUUUUUUGAAAAAGGAAUUUCCAACUGCUGUAGUUCUUCCUGUCUCUGUACUAGUCCAUUUAGAUCAAAUACCAUGCUACUGAACUCAGAUGUCCCUAGUCUUUGCUUGAAAGAAUCCCAAAGCAGAGCAGCCUUUUCUUCAUGUUGCUGGCAAGAGUUUCCUUGGGUAUCUUUGAGAACUGCAAUGGUGUUUCUUCUAUGUUUGAUUGUGGCAUGAGCAUGAAAGAAUUUUGUCCCAGCAUCUCCUUCCCUCACCCACUUUAUCUUCCCCCUCUGUUUCCAAUAAAUUUUCUGUUGCUUCAAAAGGAAGAUCAACUUCUCAGUCACCAAAUUCCUGAAGUUCCAUUCAGGUAAAGAAAGAUCUCUAAGUAUCUCAAUUGUUUCUAGGAAGUGUAGGACUGACUUGAUGUUAUUUAUGGUUCUAGCUAGAUUUGGCAAUUGUUGUUUCCAAGUUCUCAAUCCUUUUCUGAGAUUUUUGAAUUUUGCAGUGAGAAGCCUGGCUGCAUCAGAAAUACCCUCCGGUGAUACCCAUUCUUGAACUACCACUGAAGCAAAGUCAUCAUGAUUAAGCCAAUAGUUUUCGAAGCGAAAAAUUCUGCCUUGAGGGAUUUUGGUGCCAAUCUCUACCACACAUGGCCAGUGGUCCGAGGUCUCCAUCACUAGAGUUUUGACUAGAGUGUUUGGGUAUCUACUAGUCCAUGAGUCAGAGGAGAAGAACCAAUCUAGCCUUUCUAGUAGAGGGGGAAAUUGCUUAUUAGUCCACGUGAAGUGUCUUCCAUGUAAAAUUCAAUGAGGCUAAGUCUGUUUAUAGCUUCAUUAAAAAGAAACAUUUCAUUUACAUCAUCCCCCUCUCUAUUUUUGUCCUCAGGUCUUCUCAUCAAAUUAAAAUCCCCCACAAUAAGCCAAUCAAUUUCCUCUGGCAUUUGGAUUUCUCUAAACCAAUUUAGGAAGUCUCUUUUACCAAUAGUUGUCCAUGGUGCAUAAACUGUUGUAAGUAACCUGCUGUCAUUGCUGAACUUGGAAGUGAACUGAAUAGAGAUAGCAUACUCAUUACUAAAAGUCAAAUUGCCUACGAAGGCACUGCUCUUCCACACAACUAGGAUGCCCCCUGAAGCACCUAUAGAAGGUAGGUAUUCAAAGGAAUCAAAGGCUGGGGGCAGAAAUUUCUGAUGAAAGCCAUGUCAAACACCUAUCUUUUAGUUUCCUCUAAACAAAUAAUCUCACAUUUGCUCUCGGUGAUUUUGUCUCUGACAGAGUCCCACUUCUUUCCCGAGUUCACUCCACACACAUUCCAGUUUAGAAUCUUCCAAGUUCUGUUGUUGGCCAUAAAUAAGAACUGUAGUGGCUAACGUUUCAGCAGUUCUUGCUGUCGUCUUCAUCAUUCUUCCUUUUGCUUGCUUCAUCAUCUUCAUCAUUCUUCCUUUUAUCUGCUUCAUCUCCCCCCUGCUUGCUCUUCUCAUCCUUUCCCUUUUUCUGUUUUUCCCUAUUGGGUUUGUUUUCUUCUUCUUAAAAAGGAUAUGAUCAUCAACCAGAUCUGGUUGAAUCUGACAAAAGGAAGUACCGAUCUUUUUCAGAGAUGAGGAUGAUAGAGUUGGGGGUUCAGAAGAACAGCCCACACAGUUUCUUGCCUUGCAAACAUUUCCUUUGUAUCCAUUGUAGCUUGCCUUGACCCUAUCACUUCGUCUGACCACUGAAUCCACUACUGGAGUAGCAGGCCUAGAUUUUCUAAUUCUUUUUUUCCUAGAAAGACCUCAUCCACUUCCUAGUCCUGAAUGGCUUCCUCAAUUGCCUUGACUCCAACAGGCUCUUCAGCAAGGUAAGCACAACUGUCUGAGGUAUUGGGCUUCUUGUUCAUAGAAAUGAAAGCAGUCCAAUCACCCUCAUCUCUUAGUAGGUCGGGAAGGCCUGAAAGGAUUAACUGCUUGGCCUAGGAAUAUUGGGCCGGAGCCCGAAGAAGAGCUUGAAAUAAGCCCAACCAUUUCGCAGGUAUUUCAAUGAGGAAUUUGUCAGCAGACCCACUCUUUUUAGCUGGUUUUGGCGCGAACCAAGGAGGAUUUAAAUGGCUUGGAUAUGGAGCAGGAGGUUUGUUGAAGAAGGUCUUAACCAUUCCCAACUGAAUGUUAUUCUGGAAAACCGGCUCUAUAUCCACCUCUGCCUCAUGUUGAAUUUGAUUCACAUGUUGUGCUACCAGAUGCUGCUCCAGGUUUUGCUGCUGACCUAAAUUUUCUUGCUCAGGUUGGAUAUAAUUCAGAUCAUGUUGAGUUGCUAAGUUUUGGUCCUGUAUUGCCAAAUUCUGAUGAUCUUCUAAAUCAUUCUCCUCUACAUCCAUCAUCAGCUCAUCCUCUGGAAUCUCAUGGUGAAGGAAGUUUUCCCAAGGGUUAAUUUGGGGGAUGGCAACAUUAAAAUCCAGGUUGUCUUCAACAUUCCCCUGGGUUUCCUCAUGCUGUUGUUCUAGCUCAAAAUGUGCCACCAUCUGAAUCUCUUCCUGCACUUGUUCAUUACUAGGAUGAAUUAUCAUCUCCUGCAAAUCAUCCACCCCUAGAACCUCAUUCAAGUCCUGCUCAACAAUGACUGGAGCUUCAUUUAGGUUAAUCUGUUGAUCUCCCUGCUAUCCAGCAGCAGGUAGCUCCUCAGGCCAGCCAGGCCAGUUUUCUUGCUGCUGUUCCUGAAAGUUCUGUCCACGUGCUAACUCUUGACCUUGCAUGUGAGCAAACUGAUUCUGAUCAGCAUGUACUGCAAUGGGUGCCAGUACCUGUUGACCCAGGCCAAAAAAGUUAAAGAGCGGUGGACCUUGGUCUGGUUUUGGGGAAGGGAUUGGGUCCUCAUCUGGUGGUCCAUUGCUUAUGUUUUCAUGUUGUAAUAUUUCCACCUGAAUAGUCCAAGAAUCACCAUCAUAACCCACUGUGUCAGAGAAGACAAUAAAGUGUGGAAUCGAAGCAAGAUCAACUACCCUUGCUCUGACCAACAUCCUAGUUAAAUGGUUAGGAUUGUCGUCCCAGCUAAUAGCCUUUCCAAGGGGCCCCAUAACUGUAUCCACGUACUCUUGCUUCCAGUAACCAUUCGGGAACCCCAUGAGCAUGAGCCAACAUUCCUGGUUGAAGUUAACUCUCCUCCAAUUUCUUCCUUGAUUAUGCUUGGUGAAGGAAAUGUGGACAUCCCCAUAGGGGUGGGGGCUUUCUGACACAAACCUAUCUCUGUCAUAUUCAUUCUUAAAUCUUACAAAGGCCUGUCCUAGAUGACAAGGCUGCACCUCUCUAAUGUUUACUCCCCUAUGCUCCUCCAGAAUUUCCCUAAGAAUCUCCUCCACUGUAGGAAAGUGAAGAGGAUUACCAUGCAAUGGAUUGAUUGUCACGAUCACCAAAUCUUCAUUCUUGCGCAUUGGCCUUCUCCCAGCAACCACUCUAACCAUCCUCGGCCUAUUGGGCACAUCUUCUACAUGCAUUCCUCUUGGCUUGAAUGGACCCGGAUUGGCCCUCUGGUAAGCCAUGGUUGGCGCUUCACCCUCACCUGAAGCUUGUGAUGGCGCUUCACCCUCUCCUGAAGUUUGUGUCGAAGGUGUAGAGGGUAGAGAGAAGUUGUGGAACUGAGGUUUUCUAUAGGCUGUUGACCUCCCCAGCAUCAACGUUGUGUCUGGCGAGAGGGUCUUUGAAGCCUCUGGUCCACCUGUCAAUGGGCGCAGUCUAUCUGGCCAGCAAACCACCAUAAGCUCCCUUGGUGGCACAGUCUGCGAGGAGUAUAGUUGAGAUCUGGCCCAAGCAGUGAAUGAUUUGAACACUGGUGGUAGCAUUAGCGUUGGCUUUGGGAAGAUCAAAGCUUGCUGCCACUCUGUUAGCUGCUGUAAAACCCCCCUCUUUACUCCUCGAAUUACUAUUCCCUAGACAGGUGCUUGCAAUGUGUCCCCCACGCCUGCAGGCCCAACACUUAAUGCUAAAUCUGCAUGCCUCUCUGCGGUGAUCUUCUGACAGGCAUCGAGAGCAAAAACCGGGAUGCUGGCUUUUUGAAAGAUUUUCUCUUAGCCAGGGUUGACUGGCUAAAGAGCCAAAAUUCAAACUUCGACCAAGUUCAACACUGGGUCCCUUUUGGAAGAACUGACCAACCGGUUGCUUCCCUUUAGAGGAAGAAUGCACAUGAACAUUUUUAUCAGGGAAAGAAAUGCGACUGAAAACACUUCUUUUCUUUUUUUGAUGAUUGUCUAAAGGAACUCUAUUUGCACCAGUGAGCACUGAACUUCUAACUACAUCAGCGUAAGAAAGGUUCGAUCUGAGAACACUAGGACUGGCUUUGGCUGCUUUCUUUUGAACUGACCAAGAGGCUUCUUCUUCAGAGCAGAAGGAUUUCCAUUCUUUGAACCAAUGAGGUCCACCAUUACUCCAAAGAUGAAAGUAAAUCUUGUAAAGGGAGCACUCAAAGGAAUGAAGCUUAACAACAUGAAAACCCACACCACUGAGAGAAACUGAGAAACGAAACACUCUAUCAGACAAAGGGAGAACCUCAAAGUCUUCAGCAACACCACCAAUGGUGGCCUGAAGAAGGAAACCCACCGAGACAGGGGAGAGCUUAAGUUUGCAACGCCCAAAAGAGGCAACAAGGAAGAAAGCACGACCAGGCACCGCCGGAGAAACCGAACAGCCAAACUUACUUUGGAUUACAUCCUGAACGCCCACCCCUGGGUGAAAGUUCAGGCCCUGGAGGUCCAGCGCCAUUAAAGCGACAACUUCAGCGCGCCAGAAAUGGUGGCGAUUUUGCCGAGUCCCUUUUUCAGCUGAUGGUCACCGGUGCAUGUGCCCCAUCGCCGAUGUGCUUCACAGUUCUUGAAGUGCUUAGACAGAGAUCGCGCGCUGGUGAUGUGGCCCAAGCACGCGCCCGACCGCUGGGCGCUCGUCGUGGCGCAGCUCCCCGGGCGCACGCCGCGGGAGGCCUAGGAGCACUACGAGGCGCUCGUCGCCGACGUCGACCUCAUCGAGCGGUUGGCCCCUUCCUGGCCGCGCUCUGUUACGCGCCGGGCGCCGCGGAGUUGCACAGGCUGGAGCACCACCGGGCCAACAACGACGGCGGGUCGCUGAAGCUGGAUCUAGCAUAGCACGGUGCCUCGCGUGCGCUCCUCCGUUGGGACGGGAGCCGCCGCCGCAGAAGGCGAGACGACGGCGCGGCAGUUGGAGUUGGAUCUAGAUCGUCAGCGGGAGCUACUCGUCGAGGCCGGCGGGACAGAGCAGCGGCGGGGCGUGGGCGGCGGCGGCGGCGGCGGCGUCCGUUGCUGUUUGAGCCAACGAUCGGAUUUGAAUCCGACUCUUGACCUCUAUAUUCAUUUCUCCGGCACACUACCACACUACCACCUUUGUUCUCCAACCUUACCUUACAAUACAAAGUUG